RNAcentral lists this ribosomal RNA (484 nucleotides) under uncultured bacterium. RNAcentral describes it as "bacterial SSU rRNA". It matches the Rfam family "Bacterial small subunit ribosomal RNA", at positions 29 to 507 of the family's 1533-position model. The record is from RNAcentral.
AUGAACGCUAGCGGCAGGCUUAACACAUGCAAGUCGAGGGGCAACACGGGUAGCAAUACCUGGUGGCGACCGGCGCAAGGGUGCGUAACGCGUGAGCAACAUGCCCUAUACAGGGGGAUAAUCCAGGGAAACUUGGUCUAAUAUCCCAUAGUAUUUAGAGGUGGCAUCACCACUAAAUUAAAGCUUCGGUGGUAUAGGAUUGGCUCGCGUGACAUUAGCUGGAUGGUGGGGUAACGGCUCACCAUGGCGAUGAUGUCUAGGGGUUCUGAGAGGAAGACCCCCCACACUGGGACUGAGACACGGCCCAGACUCCUACGGGAGGCAGCAGUGAGGAAUAUUGGACAAUGGAUGGAAAUCUGAUCCAGCCAUGCCGCGUGCAGGAAGACGGCCCUAUGGGUUGUAAACUGCUUUUAUAUGGGAGCAAUAAGGUUUACGCGUAGACCGAUGAGAGUACCAUAUGAAUAAGCAUCGGCUAACCUCCGUG